CGGCGAGUGAAGCGGGAAAAGCUCAAAUUUGAAAUCGUACGCGAGUAACCGUGUUACGAAUUGUAAUUUGAUGAGGUAAGCUUGGUGGGCGCCCGGGUCAAAAUCCUUUGGAAAAGGGUAUCAUAGAGGGUGACAAUCCCGUCUGUGGCCUGGUCAGCGGUCUAUCGUGUAAGCUACCUUCAAAGAGUCGGGUUGUUUGGGAAUGCAGCCCUAAGCUGGUGGUAAAUUCCAUCUAAGGCUAAAUAUUCGUGAGAGACCGAUAGCGAACAAGUACCGUGAGGGAAAGUUGAAAAGCACUCUGGAGAGAGAGUCAAACAGCACGUGAAAUUGUUAACAGGGAAACGUUGGGCCCCAGUACGCGCCUUGCGUAAAAUCAACCAUCUUUUCCCCUAGGGUGUAGGAUGGGGUGGAGGAGUCGCUAAUCCCGGCCCUUGCCUUAUCCUCGCCCGAGGGGGGUGGUGCACUUUUGCGUGGGCGGGUCAACAUCGGUUAGAUCCGUCGGAAACUCCUGGGUUGAAUGUUGGCGAUGGAAACUGACCCACUUAUAGCCUCCCUUGAAUGCGAUGGACCUGACCGAGGAGUCGCGGCUCGUGCCCCUUGGGCAGACCCCCUAUGCUCUCCUUUCCCGCUAGAGUCGGACAGCUUGCUGACCGGCUUUGGUCUGGGAGAGGAUGCGGUAUGGGUAGGGUUCUAACGAGCCUCGGACGUUGGCGAAAUGGAUCUCAACGACCCGUCUUGAAACACGGACCAAGGAGUCUAACAUGUGUGCGAGUAUUUGGGUGAAAAACCCGAGUGCGUAAUGAAAGUGACCCCAGGGGAGAAGGGAUACCUUCGGGUAGCCCCGCAUCCUCGACCGAUCCGAUUGCCCUCCGUGGCGACGGGUUUGAGUUUGAGCAUAUCUGUUAGGACCCGAAAGAUGGUGAACUAUGCCUGAGUAGGAUGAAGCCAGAGGAAACUCUGGUGGAGGUCCGUAGCGAUUCUGACGUGCAAAUCGAUCGUCGAACUUGGGUAUAGGGGCGAAAGACUAAUCGAACCAUCUAGUAGCUGGUUCCCGCCGAAGUUUCCCUCAGGAUAGCAGAAACGCGUUAAACAGUAUUAUGAGGUAAAGCGAAUGAUUAGAGGCCUUGGGGGCGGAAUGCCCUUAACCUAUUCUCAAACUUUAAAUGUGUAAGAAGUCCUUGCUACUUAAUUGAGCCUGGACCUGUUGUAUGAGCGUUUCUAGUGGGCCAUUUUUGGUAAGCAGAACUGGCGAUGUGGGAUGAACCAGACGGGAGGUUAAGGUGCCGGAAUGUACGCUCAUGUAGACACCACAAAAGGUGUUGGUUCAUCUAGACAGCAGGACGGUGGCCAUGGAAGUCGGAAUCCGCUAAGGAGUGUGUAACAACUCACCUGCCGAAUGAACUAGCCCUGAAAAUGGAUGGCGCUCAAGCGUACUACCCAAACCUCCCCGCCACGGGUUAAUGCGAGGCCCUGGCGAGUAGGCGGGCGUGGGGGUUGUGAAGAAGC
Molecule: ribosomal RNA, 1506 nt
Filed under: Piptocephalis brijmohanii
Lineage: Eukaryota; Fungi; Zoopagomycota; Zoopagomycetes; Zoopagales; Piptocephalidaceae
Description: partial large subunit ribosomal RNA
Rfam family: Eukaryotic large subunit ribosomal RNA
Source: RNAcentral